UGGGGAUGCGCCUUUUUGACCUGACGUCACUGGUGGGGGUAUAAAAUCCCUUAGAUUUGUCCUCCAGUCAUUCACUGUGAAAAAGCCAUCGACAGGACUAAGCGGCUGAGAAAGAAACCGACAACAAAAUGGCUAAAAUGUUGACGGCUUACAUUGGAUUCAUUCUCCUUGCCUUGCCUUGUUCAUCACAGGUCCACGCGCAAAACACUACCACAAAGUCCCCUGCCAUGACUGCUAUGACCGAAGCUGGCGGCGCGAGUUCCAACAUGACCAAGAUGCCCGAUGUUGUCGCUACCAAGAACAUCACCAUUCCCAAAGGAGCCAGUGUGUCCUUGCUGUCCAGCUCGGUCACGCUCUUUUCCAUCGCGUUGGCGGGCGCUUUCCUACACGGCCGCUUCUAGAAGGCUCCUGUGCACUGAACAGAUACUGCAAUGACUAACAUCAGUGGCCUAGAUGGGGAAAUUGUUUUAGGAAGAGCACACUUUUAUAACUUAAAGGCAGUCGUGUUCGCCUAACCAUAGAUUGAGUGCAAUUAGGCUGUUGCAGUGCUGCAGAACAUCUUUCUAAUUCACUGAUGGGAUUUCUUAUUUGGGGAUCACACCUCCCUGGCCACUUCAAACCAGUAGGCCUAUACAACUUGUGCACUGGCCAUAGGGCCUAUGGUGUGGACCCCUCCAUGGCGGCAGGCCAUGACGAGGAUGUGUGAAACUAGACUCUUUGGUCCCACUGGUCUUGUGUAGAUGGCAGUUUUUUUUUUAAAUGUAUGAAGUGUAAAUUUGCGCAGUGUUUGGUUAGUCUACUAAUAUAAGGAAGUUGGGGUGCAUUGUGGAACAUAAUGUAUCCAGUAGUCUGAUCUUUGUCAUGCAUUGGUGUAGUAUUUCUAAACCUGCAACGGACACUAAAGCUUGUGAUUAUUUGAAGUAUCAAUUUAGUUUAAAUUGUCAUGUUAACUAAUUAUUUGAAAUGUACUUGUGACAAAAUGUAUUUGUUCUUGUAGGCUACAAUAAAAUUUCAUGGGCCUAACUGAUUUGUGUCUCUGUAGUCUAAAGCUUGACGUGCCAACUAAUUGGCUCUGUUCCAUUUGUCUCCAGACCUGGCUAAGCUAUCGUGGCCUAGUAGGAAAGGCGCCCACUGAACACCUCGUUUGAUACUUUAUGCAACGAUCUCUUGGUUUCACCAAUUUGACUGAAGUGUGAAGUUGAGCCACAUUUUUCAAUGUCUGUGUUUGACACCCUGGGUUGACUCCAGUGCAGUAUUCAGUUUCUGUCACCUUUUGAAGUUAAUGUUUUGGAUGUGGUUGAAACACUACGUUUAGCUAUUAAUUUAGAAUGUUGAACAGAAGGUUUGAUGGGGUUAAAACAAACGGGUACCGCUAGGCUUGAACACAACCUUCAGAUUGGAAUUAUUUUAGCUAGCGACUAUUAGCAUUGCUAGUUAGACCAUUUGCUAGUAAUUAACAUCUCCAUCUCUAGAAUUUCACAUGGCAGUUUCCUAAUUUGCUUUUAGUAAUGUCAUCGUACGGUGUUUCCAUGCCACUAAGUGUAAUUUGAAAACUGUCACAUUAGCCUGGGGUGCAACCAAUGUCUAGAGCACAAAUUGAAUGCAGUUAUGGUGGUACUCAUGUCUGACAAGUGUACUGAGAAGCUAAACCAACCCAGGGCCAUAGCAAAACAUGUCAGAUGGUGUCACUGGCCUGACUAUUUCAAUCAGGAACCAGUCUACAUCUG
This is a long non-coding RNA of Oncorhynchus tshawytscha (Chinook salmon), 1727 nucleotides long. The record is from Ensembl. NCBI's taxonomy places the organism in Eukaryota, Metazoa, Chordata, Actinopteri, Salmoniformes, Salmonidae.